Molecule: ribosomal RNA, 253 nt
Filed under: uncultured bacterium
Lineage: Bacteria
Description: partial 16S ribosomal RNA
Rfam family: Bacterial small subunit ribosomal RNA
Source: RNAcentral
UACGUAGGGUGCGAGCGUUACUCGGAAUUACUGGGCGUAAAGCGUGCGCAGGCGGUUCGUUAAGUCAGAUGUGAAAGCCCUGGGCUCAACCUGGGAACUGCAUUGGAUACUGGCUUACUAGAGUGCGGUAGAGGGGUGUGGAAUUCCCGGUGUAGCAGUGAAAUGCGUAGAUAUCGGGAGGAACAUCUGUGGCGAAGGCGACUCCCUGGACCAGCACUGACACUGAGGCACGAAAGCGUGGGGAGCAAACAGG